RNAcentral lists this transfer RNA (85 nucleotides) under Planctomycetota bacterium. RNAcentral describes it as "tRNA-Leu". It matches the Rfam family "tRNA". From Rfam's summary of the family: Transfer RNA (tRNA) molecules are approximately 80 nucleotides in length. Their secondary structure includes four short double-helical elements and three loops (D, anti-codon, and T loops). The record is from RNAcentral. Lineage: Bacteria; Pseudomonadati; Planctomycetota.
GCCCGGGUGGCGAAAUGGCAGACGCACAGGACUUAAAAUCCUGGGUUCCGAACGGGACGUGUGGGUUCGAGUCCCACCCCGGGCA